This 822-nucleotide ribosomal RNA is filed under the name Streptomyces parvulus. Its description in RNAcentral is "bacterial SSU rRNA". It matches the Rfam family "Bacterial small subunit ribosomal RNA", at positions 104 to 933 of the family's 1533-position model. The record is from RNAcentral. Lineage: Bacteria; Bacillati; Actinomycetota; Actinomycetes; Kitasatosporales; Streptomycetaceae.
GGGUGAGUAACACGUGGGCAAUCUGCCCUGCACUCUGGGACAAGCCCUGGAAACGGGGUCUAAUACCGGAUACUGACCUUCACGGGCAUCUGUGAAGGUCGAAAGCUCCGGCGGUGCAGGAUGAGCCCGCGGCCUAUCAGCUUGUUGGUGAGGUAAUGGCUCACCAAGGCGACGACGGGUAGCCGGCCUGAGAGGGCGACCGGCCACACUGGGACUGAGACACGGCCCAGACUCCUACGGGAGGCAGCAGUGGGGAAUAUUGCACAAUGGGCGAAAGCCUGAUGCAGCGACGCCGCGUGAGGGAUGACGGCCUUCGGGUUGUAAACCUCUUUCAGCAGGGAAGAAGCGAAAGUGACGGUACCUGCAGAAGAAGCGCCGGCUAACUACGUGCCAGCAGCCGCGGUAAUACGUAGGGCGCAAGCGUUGUCCGGAAUUAUUGGGCGUAAAGAGCUCGUAGGCGGCUUGUCACGUCGGUUGUGAAAGCCCGGGGCUUAACCCCGGGUCUGCAGUCGAUACGGGCAGGCUAGAGUUCGGUAGGGGAGAUCGGAAUUCCUGGUGUAGCGGUGAAAUGCGCAGAUAUCAGGAGGAACACCGGUGGCGAAGGCGGAUCUCUGGGCCGAUACUGACGCUGAGGAGCGAAAGCGUGGGGAGCGAACAGGAUUAGAUACCCUGGUAGUCCACGCCGUAAACGGUGGGCACUAGGUGUGGGCAACAUUCCACGUUGUCCGUGCCGCAGCUAACGCAUUAAGUGCCCCGCCCUGGGGAGUACGGGCCGCAAGGGCUAAAAACUCAAAGGAAUUGACGGGGGCCCGCACAAGCGGG